Triticum urartu is the source of this 2189-nucleotide non-coding RNA. Lineage: Eukaryota; Viridiplantae; Streptophyta; Magnoliopsida; Poales; Poaceae. The record is from RefSeq and is a predicted model, not a curated record.
CGUGCCGUCCGCCUGGACCGCCGCGCCGUCCUACCUCAUCCUCGCCUCCCAAGGACCUCGGCAAUCGGGAAAUGUUUAAUUUGAUCUCGCCUGCAACACCGUCGCUGUCGGGAAGUCGUCCAAUGAGAUCCGUGCGCAUCAGACCUGGCGGUGGCUCCUCUCCUCAGCCGGACCCAAAGCUGGAGAAGGCGCUGCUGGCUGUCCACUUCAUCGGCUACUUCACCCGGGAUGGCGUCGCAGGCAUAUCGUUGUCAAGUUGGUGUUAAAAUCAAUGUACGCAUAUUCUUAGAUCUGAUUAGGGUCGUCGAGGAGAAGAACGGUGGCCCGGACCGCAUACACAUUAUGGAACGCAACUUGCGGACAAUGUGCGUGGAGAAGAGAUCCUGAGGAGGAGAGGAUAUUGGAUCUGAGUGCGCGAGGGAGAAGCAAAAGGAUAUUCAGAAAGUACAGUCUGCAGUAUAUACAUUGAAAUAUUCCCAAUCUCCCCGCUGCUUCUGACGAAGUAUCAAUCUCGGACUGAUUGCUCUCUUCUUGUGGUCUUACAAGACUUGAAAUAUUGGUAUGUCCCAUACAUUGUCUUAAUGCAUUAGUUUUGUUAUAUUUGCAGUGUGCACAUGACUCUUUCUUAUCUUUAUUUAUUAAUAACAAAUAAACAACAUUGUUUGUUAUCUUUACUUAUUAAUAAAAGUAAGUAGGAAUUCUGGAUAAUGACUUAUGAAUAACAAUAUGUAGAAAUUCUGAAUAAAAAAGUACAUGAGAAAUAUGGUAUCCACCUUAACAGAGCAAUAAUAAUUUUAGUUGCUGAGAGGUUGACGUUGAAAUUUUUAGAGAGCUAGACCCAUCUUGUAUGCCAACAUUGGUCUUUAGAUUAGUCAGUGUUGUGUUGCAGCAUAUGUUCGCUAUAGAAUAUGUUUAGGAUUUCUAUAGAAUUUGAUCUGCAGGAUUUUGAUACUAAUGUCUACAUCCUUAUAAAGAUGUUUCAUGUUUCUGAAAUGAAUUUUGUCUAUGUGAAGAUAAGAAAGAGUGGAUAGCAGUAGCGGGUCUUAAAUUUGCAAGCUUUUCUUCAAGCAAGUUAAUCAUAUGUACUAAAUGUUUGUCAAAUUAUAAUUAAAGGUGAAUGGUUUGUUACAAAUCUAGCAUACAUCUUUUUUAUCUCUAUCUUGGUGCACAUAUAACUUACACAAUGUGAAGUUGUAUAUUAAAGUAUGAUGUUUCCAAAACGAAUGCCAAACAUAAGGGGAGUAUGUCAACUUCCAAACAUUGAAGAGGGGUGUAUAACAUCGUUGAUUUUGGCUCUUGUUGCUAUAGAUGGGAGGAUAAUACAUCUCUACUCUGUCCUUUACAUAAUUCUUGCCGUGGUUUUAGUUCAAAUUUGAACUCCUCACAAGAAUUAGAAUUCUGCAUGAAUUGGAGGGAGUACUUUGGUGCUUUAUUCUUUAAUUCUUAAUUAUCUCUCAUAUGUGUGCUCGUAAGCAUUUCGUUGAAUGAUUUGCUACCAUGACAACACAAAAUUCAGUUCACUAGUUCUUGAUUGGAUAUCUGAUUGAACAAAGAAAUGUAUAUUUAGGCAUUUGACAGGUUUCAUGUCUGAAAUUCCAGACUAGGCAUUAGUAAAUGAAUAGAUAUACAAGGAGUAGUCUUUAAGUAAGGUCAGUACAAGAAGGUGAUCAUAGCAUCAGAUUGUCCUAACUUGGUGCAAAAUUAUGGUCAUCACGCAUGGGCAUAUCUCUUUCAGGACCAAAUCCAAGACAUAAGUCAAUGCUGGCUACCUUUUGGUGUAUUUAUUUGUUUUUGUUAGUUGAUGGUUCUCUUUUAUUGGCUAGAUCAGCUAUCCAACUUGUAUCUGUUUCGUUGUAUGAGGCUCCAGGGUUAAUCCUAGCUCGUGUGAUGAACAAUUCAAUCAAAAAGUUGUUUGUUUCAUAUUUGGAUUAUCAAGGAUAUAUUUGUAUAUCAAUAGUCAAUUUUGAAACAUAACAAGCAAGACCAUGCCCUUUUGGCCGGCCGAAAGAAAAAGUCCCCUUGGUCCUUUCUUUGCACCAAUCCUUGUGCAACCACGAUGACAAAACACUUGAGUUCCUAGAUUGAAAAGAAUAAAUCAACUUAGGUUAUACUAGAGUAUUGCAGAUGAUGUUGUUUAUGAUCAUUCAUCGACAACACACUUCAGAAACUAACUUUCUCCAAAAAGCAAG